UCCUACGGAGGCAGCAGUGGGGAAUAUUGGACAAUGGGCGAAAGCCUGAUCCAGCCAUGCCGCGUGUGUGAAGAAGGUCUUCGGAUUGUAAAGCACUUUAAGUUGGGAGGAAGGGCAGUAAGCUAAUACCUUGCUGUUUUGACGUUACCGACAGAAUAAGCACCGGCUAACCCUGUGCCAGCAGCCGCGGUAAUA
This 195-nucleotide ribosomal RNA is filed under the name uncultured Pseudomonas sp. RNAcentral describes it as "partial 16S ribosomal RNA". It matches the Rfam family "Bacterial small subunit ribosomal RNA", at positions 337 to 525 of the family's 1533-position model. The record is from RNAcentral. Lineage: Bacteria; Pseudomonadati; Pseudomonadota; Gammaproteobacteria; Pseudomonadales; Pseudomonadaceae.